GGCUCGAUGGCGGACGGUCCGCGCCUGCAAAUCGUGACGGAGAAUGUUAUAAUGUACCUAUUGCGGGAGGUGCCCGUUCGACUCGGGCUCGAGCCA
Mycena latifolia is the source of this 96-nucleotide non-coding RNA. Lineage: Eukaryota; Fungi; Basidiomycota; Agaricomycetes; Agaricales; Mycenaceae. The record is from the annotation of a GenBank genome assembly.